Long non-coding RNA from Marmota flaviventris (yellow-bellied marmot), 709 nucleotides. RefSeq lists it as uncharacterized. Lineage: Eukaryota; Metazoa; Chordata; Mammalia; Rodentia; Sciuridae. The record is from RefSeq and is a predicted model, not a curated record.
CAGGGGAGCAGUGGGUUUCAAAGCAAGAAGUGAGUCUGCUCAGCUUUGAAUUUUUGCUCUUCCACUGCAUAAUUGUGCACACUGAGCAAGUCACUCAAACUCUCUGAACCCUAAUUCCUCCUCUGUAAAAUGGGGUUCUGGAUGAAGGAGUCUGGAAGCAGGCAAGAAGGACUGAAGGAAGCCGCCCAAAAGCAGAGCCAGUGUCAAGGACAUGAAAUGAACUUCAGAGGCCUGGGUUACUCACUGAUUUAUUUAGCUUUGGUGGCUAGGGAAGGAUGCAUGAAAACAUUUCUGUAAACAAGAAUCAUCUUCAAUAGCAGCAUUUUCAGUGCAAGCUAAGGAUAGAACUGAUUGGUGGAAAAUUUCAUUGAACUUUAGAUAAAAAUGAAAGUAAGCAAGAUUAUUUCUAUUCAUUUUUAUUAUGAGAGAGUGAAUAUCAUUGGCCAAUUAAAAUAUUGAAUGCUUUUUUUUUUAGUUUGGGGCCAGAAUGACACAUAAUAAUAUAACAAAUUCAAAGAAAUUUAUGCCCAAAGAAUUCUUUAGUUGUCUUACUAUUUUGCUUCCUCUCUUUCAGAGGGCUAGGCUCAGUAAGGACAGAGCCAUGUUUUGUAAUGGUUCUCUUUCAUGAUUUUUCUCAUUUGGUAACCAUUUGUGUAGAUCUGAAAAUUCUGUAAACUAGUCUGUCUUUUUGAUUAUACAUGCAAAACCA